CCUACGGGGAGCAGCAGUGGGGAAUAUUGGACAAUGGGCGAAAGCCUGAUCCAGCCAUGCCGCGUGUGUGAAGAAGGCCUUCGGGUUGUAAAGCACUUUCAGUGGGGAAGAAAGCCUUGGGGCUAAUACCCUCGAGGAAGGACAUCACCCACAGAAGAAGCACCGGCUAACUCCGUGCCAGCAGCCGUGGUAAUACGGAGGGUGCGAGCGUUAAUCGGAAUUACUGGGCGUAAAGCGCGCGUAGGCGGUCUGAUAAGCCGGUUGUGAAAGCCCCGGGCUCAACCUGGGAACGGCAUCCGGAACUGUCAGGCUAGAGUGCAGGAGAGGAAGGUAGAAUUCCCGGUGUAGCGGUGAAAUGCGUAGAGAUCGGGAGGAAUACCAGUGGCGAAGGCGGCCUUCUGGACUGACACUGACGCUGAGGUGCGAAAGCGUGGGUAGCAAACAGGAUUAGAUACCCUAGUAGUC
RNAcentral lists this ribosomal RNA (465 nucleotides) under Vreelandella stevensii. Its description in RNAcentral is "partial 16S ribosomal RNA". It matches the Rfam family "Bacterial small subunit ribosomal RNA", at positions 338 to 795 of the family's 1533-position model. Lineage: Bacteria; Pseudomonadati; Pseudomonadota; Gammaproteobacteria; Oceanospirillales; Halomonadaceae. The record is from RNAcentral.